UUUUCCUUUGUGACAAACUGACACUAAAACCGAGGUCGGAACCAGCUGAGGAGGACUUCUUUUGGCAGAAGGCUACUCUUGAGCUAAAGAGAACAUCUUGUUCUACAGUCCAAAGACCUGCCUAAAAUUAAAAGUUUUCACAGGUCCUUGUUAGGCUGCGUGCCCACGGAUGUCGCAUUUCUUACUGUUCUUAUUCAACUGGACAUUUUCCAUCCCUAACACCUACAGUGGCUGAGUUCCUUUAAGAACUCUAAAGGCCUUCUGGCUAGAACAAUUCUGAGGUGGCGCCACAUCGGCUUGUAAACUCUAAUCCGGAGCUGUGGUUGCUUCUCCUUGUGGUCUACAUGCUGAACCCAAAACUAUGCUCAGUUGAAAUAAUUUCACCCUGUGUAUCCGCAGCCAAUAUGCAUUCAGUGAACCUAGGACUUUGGAACGGAAGGUGAUCAUAUGACCAGCUCCCAACACGAACCUGUAGGCUGAUCCCGAGCGCAUCUCAUCCUGGCAUUAGAGGAUUCAAUGCACCUUUUGGAUCUUUAUACUUGUUUUAUUUUUUUUUUCCAGACCUUUCCCUGUCCUAACUUCCCUUUGCUUCUUUUCACUAAA
Molecule: long non-coding RNA, 603 nt
Organism: Microtus oregoni (creeping vole)
Lineage: Eukaryota; Metazoa; Chordata; Mammalia; Rodentia; Cricetidae
Exons: 4
Source: RefSeq, a predicted model, not a curated record